UUUUGUAUUUUAAGAGUCCUUUAAAAUCUUGUGGUAUUCAAUCAAGAUUUGAAAAAGUCCUUUAAAAUCCUGUGGUAUUCAAUCAAGAUUUUAAAAAAUCCUUUUAAAUCUGAUGGUAUUCAAAGCCCAACGAUUUUGAAAGAUUUUAUUAGAUGCUUGAUUUUGUAGGAUUCUAGGGUGCUUGGUAUAAAUACCAAACCCUAUCAGAAAUCCACCCUCUAGACUUGAGAUUUUGACGUCUUCUUUUCUUCUUUUUCUCUCUCGCACUCUGAAGAUGAAAAGACGUCAAAGAGAGAAGAAGAUCUGACUGGAGAAGUCGAACUGACCUGGAGCUGACCUCAACCUGUGAAUCUUGUGGAAAUCAUCACUUGUUAAAAAGAGUAUUAUCAUCAUGGUUGAUCCACAACAAGAUGGAAAAAAAAAAAGGGAAUUAUGAGCAGUGGACCAAGGAAGAGAGUGAUACCUUAUUAGAACUAAUGGUUGAUGCCGCCGUUAGGGAAUGGUGUGACAAUAGUGGCAUCUUAAGUAAGCAAACAGUGGAAGAAAGAAUACUUCCUGUUCUUAAUGCAAAACUUGGGUGUCACAAGACCUACAAAAACUACCAAAGCAGGCUUAGAUGGUUUAAAGGUCGGUGGAACUCUUACUCUACCCUUAUGCGGUUUAGCUCUGGUUUUGGAUUUGAUUCAACUACAAAGAGGUUUACUGCUUCUAAUAAGUAUGAGAGGAAUAUCUUAAGGCUCACCCAAAGGACACCGACUUGCGCUAUGGGACAUUUGUUGAUUAUGAGGACUUGGAAAUUUCUAUUAGGAAUGGUGUAGCGGUUGGGAAAAACUCGGUCGGGUUGGGUAGUGUUACUGAUGCAAGAACAUUAGGUGUUGGUGAAGGUAAAGAGGCAUGCAUAGAAGACUUUGAUUAUGAUAUAGAUUGUGAAGCAUUUGUUGGACCAAAUCAAAAUAAUCCAUCAACUCAUCCAAUAUCACCCCUCAAAGUGGCGUUAUGGAGAAGCUUGAUAAACUUUACUCUGGUUUUGAAGUAAUGAUUAACUUACUAGAGAAAAGAGAGUGACAAAGUAAAAUUUGGGAUGCUAUCAUGAAGAUCUCAAACUUGGAUGAAGCUACCGGUUUCAAGGCUUUUGAGUUGCUUGAUACCAAAACAAAAAAAGAUGGAUUCUUAAAUAUGUCUCCUCAACAGCGAUCAAAUUGGAUAUUCCACAAGUUGGGAGGACUAUAAAUUGUGACUUGCUAUGUUAUGAUGUCUUAUGUGACGUUAUUAUGAAUUAGAAUACAUUUGGUCUUUUAAGUUCUUUUGAAUAUUUUGCUUUAACUAU
Long non-coding RNA from Rosa chinensis, 1327 nucleotides. RefSeq lists it as uncharacterized. The transcript is spliced from 3 exons. NCBI's taxonomy places the organism in Eukaryota, Viridiplantae, Streptophyta, Magnoliopsida, Rosales, Rosaceae. The record is from RefSeq and is a predicted model, not a curated record.